Alosa sapidissima (American shad) is the source of this 460-nucleotide long non-coding RNA. RefSeq lists it as uncharacterized. The transcript has 3 exons. NCBI's taxonomy places the organism in Eukaryota, Metazoa, Chordata, Actinopteri, Clupeiformes, Clupeidae. The record is from RefSeq and is a predicted model, not a curated record.
UGUAUUCUUGCACAUAAAGCUUUGCCACAUCUCCCUUUCCAAGUUUCAAACCAUUUCCUGGUUUCUGUACUAUUUCUGCAGAAAGAACAUUAGAGAGAGGGAGAAUAAGUGAGAGAGUGAUAGAGAGAGGUAAAAGAGAGUGAGUGAGAGAGAGGGAGAGAUGAUGGGAUAUGAUGGAGGAGAGACAGCAAUUCACCACUCUAUUCCUGUGAUAAUGACACAGCUAGCUCUCUGACAGACAGAAUGAGAUGGGGACCCAGGAGGCUGCUGAAGAUUUAGUAUGCUCGGGUCCUUGGGGUGCACUACUGUGGAUCUUCGAACUUAGAAGCAACACCAGAACAACUUUUAUGAUGAAAGCGUGUAGAUCCAGUGUGCAGUGGCAUCCAAAUACCAACGAUAAAGAUGGAGCUGAGAGAAUAAGAGAAGAAGAGAGAGAGUGAGAAUAAAAGAGAGAAAAGAG